AAUUCGUCACAACGGCUUCCUGACGUGGCGACAAACAAUACCGGAGCA
Puniceibacterium sp. IMCC21224 is the source of this 48-nucleotide regulatory RNA element. It matches the Rfam family "SAM/SAH riboswitch aptamer". The record is from Rfam. NCBI's taxonomy places the organism in Bacteria, Pseudomonadati, Pseudomonadota, Alphaproteobacteria, Rhodobacterales, Paracoccaceae.